CGUUUUUAUUCUGAUAUUCGAGUUUCGAAGAUUUCUGCAGUGAAAAUUCGAUCUUGUACAAAAUUGCAUCUUUUCGACACAAAAAUCGCAAUUACGACGAUUUCUACAUCGAAAUCAUUCAGAGAUACAUUAUCCAGCACUAUCUCGCUCAGAUUGAAAUCGACAAUGUGUAAAUAUUGGACAAUGUGGAAUUUAUAAUGGUCCAAUCUCGUGUUGUAAAAACAAAUAUUGUGAUGCGAUGAGUAUGUAAAGAAUCUGGUGAAAGAAGAAAAUUCAUGGACCGAAGCAUAUGUAAACUUAUUACGGGCACAACUGCUCAACAAUUUUCUGUAGAAGAUAAAGUCGAGGAAAAAAGUCCAAG
Long non-coding RNA from Apis laboriosa (Himalayan honeybee), 361 nucleotides. RefSeq lists it as uncharacterized. NCBI's taxonomy places the organism in Eukaryota, Metazoa, Arthropoda, Insecta, Hymenoptera, Apidae. The transcript is spliced from 2 exons. The record is from RefSeq and is a predicted model, not a curated record.